This 354-nucleotide ribosomal RNA is filed under the name Eukaryota sp. RNAcentral's name for it is "SSU rRNA". It matches the Rfam family "Eukaryotic small subunit ribosomal RNA", at positions 1324 to 1700 of the family's 1831-position model. The record is from RNAcentral.
GCCGUUAACGAACGAGACCUUAACCUGCUAAAUAGCCCGUAUUGCUUUGGCAGUACGCUGGCUUCUUAGAGGGACUAUCCGCUCAAGCGGAUGGAAGUUUGAGGCAAUAACAGGUCUGUGAUGCCCUUAGAUGUUCUGGGCCGCACGGGCGCCACACUGAUCGGUUCAUCGAGCAUAAAACCUUGACUGAAAAGUCUGGGUAAUCUUUUGAAAACCGAUCGUGCUGGGGAUAGAUCAUUGUAAUUAUUGAUCUUCAACGAGGAAUUCCUAGGAAACGCGAGUCAUCAACUCGCAUUGAUUACGUCCCUGCCCUUUGUACACACCGCCCGUCGCUAGUACCGAUUGAAUGGUUAA